AGAGGCUCCUGUUCACCCUCUGAGCAAGAGUCCUCUCCUUCCAGAAGCCUUACCUGGAUCCCCAGACGAAGGUAGAUGUUUCUUCCUCAGCAGAUUGACAUGAGAAUACAGCCACAGCUGUUACUGGCACCUCUCGGAGCAUCCCAUCCGACGGUUCUCUCCCAUGAGAUCCAGACCCUGUGCCUUCCCGACUCCUUAUCUUCAAAGCCUGGCACCUGUCUGAUGGUGAUGAGAGAUGGAGAUCUUCCCUGGAGAGAAACCGAGACAGAUAAGAAAAAGAGAAACCGUAUCUGAAGAAAAGAGAAACCACUCUAAGAGGAUCUUAUGCCCUGAGACUAGCCCUUCCAUGCAUCCCAACAGCGCUCUAAGAAGCAAAGCACGUGAGUGGGAAGAACAGGGCUUGCUUUUGCCGUCAUCCUAUGUAGAAUAUGGUCACUUCAUUUGCCCAAUCCUCUGGUCCCUUUUGAAAGCUGUCUACUAAUGGAACUGUGGAGGGAGAACAGGAAUUGCCAAGAAAUAGAUAGGAUUGACUUCUCUGUUGCUGAGAGAGGUCCUCUCAUGAUCCUGUGAAAGUGGAGGUGAUCUGGGUCUGAAUCUAAGAGGCAGACCGUCUCUGUACCCAUAUGGGGCAGGGCUGAUCAAAACACCAUCCAAACCCAUCUGCAAUGUUAGGGGAAUCUCUUUUGGAACAAAAGGUGGUUGGGUAAAUGAGAAGCAGCUUCUGCUUUUAUGAGGCAGGCCUGGUGUAAGCAGGUGCCAGUACACAGAGCAGCAUUCAAAAGUAAAUUUCAGUGUCUAGGCAUGUAGUUUGUUAGACUUUCAAAGCCCUUUCACAUUCUUAUUCUCCUUUAAUCCUCAUCCAAUCCUCCAGGAAAACUUAGGGGAAAAUGGGAAAGAAGUUGUUUUCUGUGUUUGUUUGUUUGUUGUUUUUUUAAUUGAAGUACUGUUCAUUUACAAUCUUGUGUUGAGUUUCAGAUGUACAAGAAAGUAAUUCAGUUAUAUUCUUUUUUUCAGAUUAUUUUUCAUUAUAGGUUGUUACAAAAUAUCGAGCAUGGCUCCCUGUGCUGUACCAUAAAUCCUUGUUAUUUGUCUAUUUUCUAUGUAGGAGUGUGUAUACCUUAAUACCAAAUGCCUAAUUUAUGCCACCCCCCCAACUUUGGCAACCAUAAGUUUGUUUUCUAGGUCUGUGAUGUUUUCUGCCUUAAUGUCACGCAUAUCUGCUGAGUAAUAAUGUGUGCUAAGCUCUUUAUCUAGAACCCAGGAUACAGACAUGAAUGAAGCUAUCACGAUCAGUGUCUUCGUGGAGCCGAUAUUCUGGUGGGGAAGAGACUGAAGAAGGAGUUGUGAUUGCAUUUAGAGAAAGAAGAGUGGGUACAGAAGACUUUCAGAAGGAGAUGCAAUAGUGAAGGUUGCAGAUGGAAUAACUGAGAGGAGUUCCCAUCAUGGCUCAGCAGAAGCGAAUCUGACUAGCAUCCACAAGG
RNAcentral lists this long non-coding RNA (1481 nucleotides) under Sus scrofa (pig). Its description in RNAcentral is "lncRNA (ENSSSCG00015005142.1)". The record is from RNAcentral. Lineage: Eukaryota; Metazoa; Chordata; Mammalia; Artiodactyla; Suidae.